GUGGGGAAUCUUAGACAAUGGGCGCAAGCCUGAUCUAGCCAUGCCGCGUGAGCGAUGAAGGCCUUAGGGUUGUAAAGCUCUUUCAGCUGGGAAGAUAAUGACGGUACCAGCAGAAGAAGCCCCGGCUAACUCCGUGCCAGCAGCCGCGGUAAUACGGAGGGGGCUAGCGUUGUUCGGAAUUACUGGGCGUAAAGCGCACGUAGGCGGAUCAGAAAGUCAGAGGUGAAAUCCCAGGGCUCAACCUUGGAACUGCCUUUGAAACUCCUGGUCUUGAGGUCGAGAGAGGUGAGUGGAAUUCCGAGUGUAGAGGUGAAAUUCGUAGAUAUUCGGAGGAACACCAGUGGCGAAGGCGGCUCACUGGCUCGAUACUGACGCUGAGGUGCGAAAGCGUGGGGAGCAAACAGGAUUAGAUACCCCGGUAGUCC
RNAcentral lists this ribosomal RNA (425 nucleotides) under uncultured bacterium. RNAcentral's name for it is "partial 16S ribosomal RNA". It matches the Rfam family "Bacterial small subunit ribosomal RNA", at positions 354 to 796 of the family's 1533-position model. The record is from RNAcentral.